Long non-coding RNA from Esox lucius (northern pike), 317 nucleotides. RefSeq lists it as uncharacterized. The record is from RefSeq and is a predicted model, not a curated record. The transcript has 3 exons. NCBI's taxonomy places the organism in Eukaryota, Metazoa, Chordata, Actinopteri, Esociformes, Esocidae.
UUCAGCUCUACCCCUAAUGGUUUUUCACAGGAUAUUACCUACCUUUCCAUUCUUGCUGCCGAUUCCUCCAAACAAAACCUGACCCAGUUCUUAAGAGGACCAUCUUAUUCAUCCAUGAGUCCAGACACAAAGGAAAAACCUGCCUGAUUCACUGUGUGGCAGGUGUGUCCUGUGGUGUUAUGCUGGUGGUGGCCGACAUCGUGAACUUCACUGGACUGGGCCGGGUGGAAGCGUUAGCUACGGUGAGGAUGGUAUAACCAUGUGCCGGACCUAACAAAGGGUUCAUAUGCCAGAUAGAAGACUUUGAGACCCAAGAG